Molecule: ribosomal RNA, 634 nt
Filed under: Klebsiella pneumoniae
Lineage: Bacteria; Pseudomonadati; Pseudomonadota; Gammaproteobacteria; Enterobacterales; Enterobacteriaceae
Description: partial 23S ribosomal RNA
Rfam family: Bacterial large subunit ribosomal RNA
Source: RNAcentral
ACCUUUUGUAUAAUGGGUCAGCGACUUAUAUUCUGUAGCAAGGUUAACCGUAUAGGGGAGCCGCAGGGAAACCGAGUCUUAACUGGGCGUUAAGUUGCAGGGUAUAGACCCGAAACCCGGUGAUCUAGCCAUGGGCAGGUUGAAGGUUGGGUAACACUAACUGGAGGACCGAACCGACUAAUGUUGAAAAAUUAGCGGAUGACUUGUGGCUGGGGGUGAAAGGCCAAUCAAACCGGGAGAUAGCUGGUUCUCCCCGAAAGCUAUUUAGGUAGCGCCUCGUGAAUUCAUCUUCGGGGGUAGAGCACUGUUUCGGCUAGGGGGUCAUCCCGACUUACCAACCCGAUGCAAACUACGAAUACCGAAGAAUGUUAUCACGGGAGACACACGGCGGGUGCUAACGUCCGUCGUGAAGAGGGAAACAACCCAGACCGCCAGCUAAGGUCCCAAAGUCAUGGUUAAGUGGGAAACGAUGUGGGAAGGCACAGACAGCCAGGAUGUUGGCUUAGAAGCAGCCAUCAUUUAAAGAAAGCGUAAUAGCUCACUGGUCGAGUCGGCCUGCGCGGAAGAUGUAACGGGGCUAAACCAUGCACCGAAGCUGCGGCAGCGACACUAUGUGUUGUUGGGUAGGGGAGCG